This 332-nucleotide ribosomal RNA is filed under the name uncultured bacterium. Its description in RNAcentral is "bacterial SSU rRNA". It matches the Rfam family "Bacterial small subunit ribosomal RNA", at positions 568 to 898 of the family's 1533-position model. The record is from RNAcentral.
CGUGUAGGCGGUCGGGUAAGUCAGAUGUGAAAGCCUUCUGCUUAACAGAAGAAGUGCAUUUGAAACUGCUCGGCUGGAGUACGGGAGAGGAGAGUGGAAUUCCCGGUGUAGAGGUGAAAUUCGUAGAUAUCGGGAGGAACACCAGUGGCGAAGGCGGCUCUCUGGUCCGAUACUGACGCUGAGACGCGAAAGCGUGGGGAGCAAACAGGAUUAGAUACCCUGGUAGUCCACGCCGUAAACGAUGGGCACUAGGUGUAGGAGGUAUUGACCCCUUCUGUGCCGAAGUUAACGCAUUAAGUGCCCCGCCUGGGGAGUACGGCCGCAAGGCUAAA